GCGGGUGUGGUGAAAUUGGUAGACACGCCAGAUUUAGGUUCUGGUGACGCAAGUCGUGGGGGUUCAAGUCCCUCCACCCGCACCA
This 85-nucleotide transfer RNA is filed under the name Alphaproteobacteria bacterium. Its description in RNAcentral is "tRNA-Leu". It matches the Rfam family "tRNA". Rfam says of the family: Transfer RNA (tRNA) molecules are approximately 80 nucleotides in length. Their secondary structure includes four short double-helical elements and three loops (D, anti-codon, and T loops). The record is from RNAcentral. RNAcentral also lists the same sequence under 1 other name. Lineage: Bacteria; Pseudomonadati; Pseudomonadota; Alphaproteobacteria.